Molecule: transfer RNA, 71 nt
Filed under: Loxodonta africana (African savanna elephant)
Lineage: Eukaryota; Metazoa; Chordata; Mammalia; Proboscidea; Elephantidae
Rfam family: tRNA
About the family: Transfer RNA (tRNA) molecules are approximately 80 nucleotides in length. Their secondary structure includes four short double-helical elements and three loops (D, anti-codon, and T loops). Further hydrogen bonds mediate the characteristic L-shaped molecular structure. tRNAs have two regions of fundamental functional importance: the anti-codon, which is responsible for specific mRNA codon recognition, and the 3' end, to which the tRNAs corresponding amino acid is attached (by aminoacyl-tRNA synthetases). tRNAs cope with the degeneracy of the genetic code in two manners: having more than one tRNA (with a specific anti-codon) for a particular amino acid; and 'wobble' base-pairing, i.e. permitting non-standard base-pairing at the 3rd anti-codon position.
Source: Rfam by way of RNAcentral
GCAGUGGUGGUUCAGUGGUAGAACGCUUGCCUUUCAUGCAGGAGACCCAAGUUUGGUUCCUGGCCAACGCA